This 151-nucleotide unclassified non-coding RNA is filed under the name Basidiomycota sp. RNAcentral describes it as "partial contains small subunit ribosomal RNA, internal transcribed spacer 1, and 5.8S ribosomal RNA". The stretch from base 1 to 47 matches the Rfam family "Eukaryotic small subunit ribosomal RNA", at positions 1785 to 1831 of the family's 1831-position model. Lineage: Eukaryota; Fungi; Basidiomycota. The record is from RNAcentral.
AAAGUCGUAACAAGGUUUCCGUAGGUGAACCUGCGGAAGGAUCAAUACAAAAAGAGAGAGGGUUUGGGGAUAAGUGGAAAAAAGAGAAACGAGUAGACACGAUUAAAUCAUACCUUACACACAACUCAUAACAAUGGAUCUCUGGGCUCUU